This 557-nucleotide ribosomal RNA is filed under the name uncultured bacterium. RNAcentral's name for it is "bacterial SSU rRNA". It matches the Rfam family "Bacterial small subunit ribosomal RNA", at positions 343 to 916 of the family's 1533-position model. The record is from RNAcentral.
GGGAGGCAGCACAAGGAUAUUGUGCAAUGGGCGAAACUCGCACACAGCGACGCCGCGUGAGGGAAGACGGCCUUCGGGUUGUAAACCUCUUUUCUCAGGGAAGAAUAAUGACGGUACCUGAGGAAUAAGUCUCGGCUAACUACGUACCAGCAGCCGCGGUAAUACGUAGGAGGCGAGCGUUAUCCGGAUUUACUGGGCGUAAAGCGGGCGUAGGUGGCUUUUCAAGUCGGAUGUGAAAUCUCCCUGCUUAACGGGGAGGGGUCAUUCGAAAGUGUUGAGCUAGAGGGCAGCAGGGGGAGGUGGAAUUCCCGGUGUAGUGGUGAAAUGCGUAGAUAUCGGGAGGAACACCAGUGGCGAAGGCGGCCUCCUGGGCUGUUACUGACGCUGAGGCCCGAAAGCGUGGGGAGCGAACAGGAUUAGAUACCCUGGUAGUCCACGCUGUCAACGAUGGGCACUAGGUAUAGGGAGUAUCGACCCUCUCUGUGCCGAAGCUAACGCGUUAAGUGCCCCGCCUGGGGACUACGGCCGCAAGGCUAAAAACUCAAAGGAAUUGACGG